RNAcentral lists this ribosomal RNA (482 nucleotides) under Melarhaphe neritoides. RNAcentral describes it as "partial 16S ribosomal RNA". It matches the Rfam family "Bacterial large subunit ribosomal RNA", at positions 1817 to 2571 of the family's 2925-position model. Lineage: Eukaryota; Metazoa; Mollusca; Gastropoda; Littorinimorpha; Littorinidae. The record is from RNAcentral.
CGCUCCUUGAUUUUAAUUAAUAAGGAGUCGGACCUGCCCAGUGAUAAGUAUUUAACGGCCGCGGUACUCUGACCGUGCAAAGGUAGCAUAAUCAUUUGCCCUAUAAUUGAGGGCUAGUAUGAAUGGUUUGACAAGAACAAUACUGUCUCUUUCAAAAUUUCUAGAAUUUAUUCUUUAGGUGAAGAAACCUAAAUAAAAUUAAAAGACAAGAAGACCCUAUCGAGCUUAAACUCUUUUUAUAAAAUAAAAAAAAUUAAUAAUAUUUUUUGUUAUAAAAAAUUUUGGUUGGGGCGACUAAGGAACAAAAAAAGCUUCUUUAUUUAAUAAAGACAAGUGUGUAUUGAUCCAUAAAAUCUUGAUUAAAAGAAUUAGUUACCGUAGGGAUAACAGCAUAAUCUUUUUUAAGAGUUCUUAUCGAAAAAAAGGUUUGUGACCUCGAUGUUGGACUAAAAUUUCCUAAUAGAUGCAGACGUCUUUAAGGG